RNAcentral lists this long non-coding RNA (241 nucleotides) under Elaeis guineensis (African oil palm). Its description in RNAcentral is "long non-coding RNA (EGUI_LNC057812)". The record is from RNAcentral. Lineage: Eukaryota; Viridiplantae; Streptophyta; Magnoliopsida; Arecales; Arecaceae.
GGCCUCGACAGAUCGUCCACUCCAAGCUCUGAUCAGAUCUUCCUUCGUAGGAGUGCUAGCUCACAUCGAAGGCUCUGGAUGGCUGAUCCAAACUCCUUUCUUCGGAUCUUUCAGACUCCUCCAGAUCAAAAGAUAAAGCUUUACGAGGAGGUAGUGGUGUGAAAAAUUGGAGAAGACUCACUCUUGUAUUUUUCUUCUCACAAAACUUAGAGAUGAGACUCUAGAACCCACAGCUCACGCC